Non-coding RNA from Macaca mulatta (Rhesus monkey), 1014 nucleotides. The record is from RefSeq and is a predicted model, not a curated record. NCBI's taxonomy places the organism in Eukaryota, Metazoa, Chordata, Mammalia, Primates, Cercopithecidae.
AAAUGUGAUUUAUGAAGUCUUUCAAGCACAAGUCCUUCCUGCCUUUGCUUGUGGACUGGGGCCCCUACUUGUGUGCAAUCCUACACCCGCCCUGAGGCAGGAUCCACUCCUUCAUUUCUCCAGCGCCAAAUUACAGACAAUUCAGACAGAGAAGACAGGCCUGAAGGAAACUUGAGGGACAGCGGAAAGUGAUGGGAACAAACGUUAGAUCUGAGGGAUUAUGAGACGGGCAUGACAAAUUGUAUUCUUGUAGGUUAGGAAUUAUGAUUAUCCUAUAUAUGGCUAAAAUUAUCUUCUAUGUGUUCAUUUUCAAAACAAAAUAUAACCCAAUGUGAAAACGGGAAGCUGGAAAGGUUUUGCUUUCCUUUGUUCUCCUUCAUAAAUAGUAUUCUUAGAUGCAGGUGAGAGAUGAGUCUCCAGUCCCACCUGCCUCUCCCAGCCCCCCACCUCACUCCCGCGGUAGUGCAAGAGAAGAGAGUAUCAGUAGCGCCAGAAGCCAGGACCCAGGGUGGGUGCCCUGGCGUCCGGUUUCAUUGACUUGCUAAUUGGAAGACUACAAAGCCUUUCGCACAGGGAAAGGUGAAGAGGCGGUGGCGAGGGGGGCACCUGCGUUGACGAAUAGACACACAAAGAAAAAGAAAGCUUCGCAAAGGCGGAGCUGAUUUUCCGAAUGGUAGCCAUCUGGAGCUAGCGGCAAGCAAGAGGACAGCAAGCGGACGGCGAGUGCGUUUCGUUGGAGGUUCGGAAAACCAGCGAAAUAAAGGUUUACUGCGUACCGGCUGCGGGCUGGUGGAAGAGGCCCUGGGUUCUUUGCGAGCGCGUGGUCCGUUGAGGGUGAGGAAAUCGGACCACCAACCCCCACGUGUAGGGGAGGACGUGGUGCAGCAGCGCCACAUAAAGCCGGAGGAACCCCAAGUGGAGGCCGCUUGGGUCCUUCCGGAGUGAGUAAAGAACCAAUUUCUGUGGCAUGUGUUUCUACAGUAACUGUAUUGUAAUACUUCCUAAAACGAGUAA